AGAGCAAGAGCCCGGAGAUGGAUUCUGAGACACGAAUCCAGGCCCUACGGGGUGCAGCAGGCGCGAAAACUUUACAAUGCUGGCAACAGCGAUAAGGGAACCUCGAGUGCCAGGUUACAAAUCUGGCUGUCGAGAUGCCUAAAAAGCAUUUCAUAGCAAGGGCCGGGCAAGACCGGUGCCAGCCGCCGCGGUAACACCGGCGGCUCGAGUGGUAACCGUUAUUAUUGGGUCUAAAGGGUCUGUAGCCGGCCGGAUAAGUCUCUUGAGAAAUCUGGCAGCUUAACUGUCAGGCUUUCAGGAGAUACUGUCUGGCUCGAGGCCGGGAGAGGUGAGAGGUACUUCAGGGGUAGGGGUGAAAUCUUGUAAUCCUUGAAGGACCACCAGUGGCGAAGGCGUCUCACCAGAACGGACCUGACGGCAAGGGACGAAAGCUAGGGGCACGAACCGGAUUAGAUACCCGGGUAGUCCUAGCCGUAAACGAUACUCGCUAGGUGUCGGCCACGGUGCGACCGUUGUCGGUGCCGUAGGGAAGCCGUGAAGCGAGCCACCUGGGAAGUACGGCCGCAAGGCUGAAACUUAAAGGAAUUGGCGGGGGAGCACCACAACGGGUGGAGCUUGCGGUUUAAUUGGAUUCAACGCCGGAAAUCUUACCGGGACCGACAGCAAUAUGAAGGCCAGGCUGAAGACUUUGCCGGAUUAGCUGAGAGGUGGUGCAUGGCCGUCGUCAGUUCGUACUGUGAAGCAUCCUGUUAAGUCAGGUAACGAGCGAGACCCA
Molecule: ribosomal RNA, 775 nt
Filed under: unidentified archaeon
Lineage: Archaea
Description: bacterial SSU rRNA
Rfam family: Archaeal small subunit ribosomal RNA
Source: RNAcentral